Molecule: ribosomal RNA, 478 nt
Filed under: uncultured bacterium
Lineage: Bacteria
Description: partial 16S ribosomal RNA
Rfam family: Bacterial small subunit ribosomal RNA
Source: RNAcentral
GAUGAACGCUGGCGGCGUGCUUAACACAUGCAAGUCGAACGAGAAGUGAAGACGGAAACCUUCGGGCGGAAGGCUUUAUUUCGAGUGGCGGACGGGUGAGUAACGCGUGGGUAACCUGCCUCAUACAGGGGGAUAACAGUUGGAAACGACUGUUAAUACCGCAUAAGACCACAGCACCGCAUGGUGCGGGGGUAAAAACUCCGGUGGGAGGAGAUGGACCCGCGUUCGAUUAGCCAGUUGGCGGGGUAACGGCCCACCAAAGCGACGAUCGAUAGCCGAUCUGAGAGGAUGACCGGCCAUAUUGGGACUGAGACACGGCCCAAACUACUACGGGAGGCAGCAGUGGGGAAUAUUGCACAAUGGGGGAAACCCUGAUGCAGCGACGCCGCGUGAGUGAAGAAGUAUUUCGGUAUGUAAAGCUCUAUCAGCAGGGAAGAAAAUGACGGUACCUGAGUAAGAAGCCCCGGCUAACUACGUG